Molecule: long non-coding RNA, 1246 nt
Organism: Pseudopipra pipra
Lineage: Eukaryota; Metazoa; Chordata; Aves; Passeriformes; Pipridae
Exons: 2
Source: RefSeq, a predicted model, not a curated record
GGCCUGGCACUCGGUGCCGUGGUUUGGUUGGCAUGGCGUGCUCGGUCAUGGGUUGGGCUCGACGAUCUCAGAGGUCUUCUGCAACCUAGUUGAUUCUGUUAAAUCGGUAGAGGCCGAGACUGGGCUGGGGGCGGUUUGGGGGGGGGGGGGGGGCGAGCGGAGCCCUCCUGGAGGGGGAAACUGGCUCGUUCUUGCCCGCAGUUUUCUUGCUCCUACAGCGACAUGAAUACUUGAAGCCAGCCUUCCGUGAAUACUUGAAGCCAGCUCUUCCUCCUGCCGGGGCUGAGGGAGCCCCGAGUGUCCCCAUCUCGUCGUGGGGCUGAGGGGGCCCUCUCCCCGUCCUGGGAGCCCCUUCCCCACAGCCAGGUGGAACACAAGUGGGUUGUGCGACUAUUCUGCCCAGCUCAUGUUAUAGAUGCCUUGAGUAUAAUUUAAUAUUCACCAGCCAGCUAACCAGAAAAAAUAAUACCUGUCACUAAGAGUCUGAACUGUUAUUCCCCAGGUUUAAUCAACUCAUUUUACCAACGUUUCUUUUGCCCCCUGGUUCGAGGUCUCCUAUUUGGCACAGACGUCAUGCGAUACCCGAUGUGGGAGCUGGAGACUUGAGAGCUGUUUUCCUAGACUAAAUGUUUGAGGUUACAGGACGUGGCCUAGUUUCACAUAAGCUUUCAAAUUUCAAUGGGACAUGCUGAAUCCUGAAACUGUCAAAUAGUGUAUUAUUUUUGGAGUGAGAGAGAGUACGUGUGUGUGAGUGUGUGAAUGACCUUUACAUUUUUACCCUAUCCCAAAAGUCUGACUUCCUGCCCUUUCUCCCAUGAGUCCAUAAACUUUAGCCAUUAAAAUGAACACUUUUUAAGGAAGAAAUUCAGUAUAGGAGAGAACGAGUGGAAAGAGGAAUGAUGUAUUAAGGGGAAAAUAAGGAAUACAUCCAAAUGCUACAACUUCAUGGAAGACAUAGAAAAAUCUGGAGAAUUUGGGCUUCUUUCAUUUUUGCCAGGUUCCCUUCUCCAUCUUAGUAAUAUCAAGACCUCUGUGUGUGGGUGUGUGGGGGAAGUGAUGAGGGGGUGAGGGGUAUGUUCCAUUUUGUUUCCCACAAAAAAGCUCAUUUUUUUGCUACUCUUCAAAGCAAUGGGAGUGAUGAAUCUUACCUAAUUCCUUUCCAAAUUUGUAACUAAUUCUAAAACUUUGUAAGCUCACAGAAUGGACAUCUCUAAAUGCUGAAUAAAAGUGCUUAUGUCUCUCUUUA